UGCUAGAGGGCGUUCCCUUAUACUGUGGAGAUCACUUUGUGUUAUUGCUGUGAUGCUGAUAAUUGAUUUAGUAGUCACCAAACUCAGACACAAACAGUUGACCAGUUUCUUCAAUAAUUUUGUCUUGUGGAUGAUGUACGUUACAUUUACUUCCAUCUUAAAGAUAAACAUUUCUUUCCAACAUAAUGGAUCAUUCAUAACAAGUGAUGGAUUUGAUGUUAUUGCAAGAUAUGAUUUCCAACCCUUGGACCACCAUUAAAAUAAUGCAGGAUUGGAAUUUCUGUUUGUUUAAAAGGUUUCUUAUGGAUGCAGAAUGAACUUCCUCAAUAGAAUUUCACUUGGAAUUAUUACUAAGAGGUUCAGUCCCAUUCUACAAGAAAAGGAUAAAAAAUAUUCGAAAAGUUAAUAAAAGACGUA
This is a long non-coding RNA of Nicrophorus vespilloides, 417 nucleotides long. RefSeq lists it as uncharacterized. The record is from RefSeq and is a predicted model, not a curated record. The transcript has 6 exons. NCBI's taxonomy places the organism in Eukaryota, Metazoa, Arthropoda, Insecta, Coleoptera, Silphidae.